GUCUACGGCCAUGCUACCCUGAACAAGCUGGAUCCCAUCUGAUCUCGAAAGCUAAGUAGUGCCGGGCUUGGUUAGUAUUUGGAUGGGAGACCACCUAGGAAGACCAGAUGCUAUAGGCA
RNAcentral lists this ribosomal RNA (119 nucleotides) under Pteropus alecto (black flying fox). Lineage: Eukaryota; Metazoa; Chordata; Mammalia; Chiroptera; Pteropodidae. The record is from RNAcentral.